ACCCUUCGUAGUCCGAUUUGAGCACUGAAGGUUGCUGACUGUGUAGUGGGCAAAGGAUCAAGUGAUGCCGUUUCGCCUGACACGUUCACAGCAGAAGUGAGCUCAGACGCAGUCCCUGAUGUCAGGUCACCAGCUACUCCAGCCUGCAGGAGGGACCUUCCCACCCCCAAGACCUUUGUACUUCGUUCUGUACUGAAGAAACCCUCUGUUAAGAUGUGUCUAGAGAGCUUACAGGAACACUGUAACAACCUCUAUGAUGAUGAUGGGACUCAUCCGAGCUUAAUCUCAAAUCUCCCAAACUGUUGCAAAGAGAAAGAAGCAGAAGAUGAAGAAAAUUUUGAAGCACCUGCCUUUCUAAAUAUGAGGAAGAGGAAGAGAGUUACUUUUGGAGAGGACUUAAGCCCGGAAGUGUUUGAUGAAUCUUUGCCAGCAAAUACUCCAUUGCGUAAAGGAGGAACACCUGUUUGUAAAAAAGACUUCAGUGGUCUCAGUUCCCUGCUGCUUGAGCAGUCACCUGUUCCUGAGCCAUUACCUCAACCAGAUUUUGAUGACAAGGGGGAGAAUCUUGAAAACAUAGAACCACUUCAAGUAUCAUUUGCCGUUCUCAGUUCUCCUAAUAAAUCAUCAAUCUCUGAGACCCUUUCAGGCACUGAUACCUUUAGUUCUUCAAAUAGCCAUGAGAAAAUAUCCUCUCCUAAAGUUGGUAGAAUAACAAGGACUUCUAACAGAAGAAAUCAAUUGGUCAGUGUUGUAGAAGAGAGUGUUUGCAACUUAUUGAAUACAGAAGUUCAGCCUUGUAAAGAAAAGAAAAUUAAUAGGAGGAAGUCUCAAGAAACAAAGUGUACAAAGAGAGCACUUCCUAAGAAGAGUCAGGUUUUAAAAAGUUGCAGAAAGAAGAAAGGAAAGGGAAAGAAAAGUGUUCAGAAAUCUUUAUAUGGGGAAAGAGACAUUGCAUCUAAGAAGCCCCUCCUCAGUCCUAUUCCCGAGCUGCCUGAAGUCUCUGAGAUGACACCUUCCGUUCCGAGCAUCCGAAGACUGGGUUCAGGUUAUUUCAGUUCAAAUGGCAAACUGGAAGAAGUGAAGACUCCUAAAAAUCCAGUGAAAAGAAAGGAUCUUUUGCCUCAUGACCCAGAUUUGCAUAUGCAUCAAGGCUAUGAUAAAUAUGUUGUCUCUGAAUUCUGCUCUUAUAUAAAAAGUUCCUCAUCGCUUGGCAAUGCUACUUCUGAUGAAGAUCCAAAUACAAAUAUAAUGAACAUUAAUGAAAAUAAAAAUAUUCCAAAAGCAAAAAAUAAGUCAGAAAGUGAAAAUGAACCAAAAGCUGGAACUGACAGUCCUGUUUCUUGUGCUUCUGUAACUGAAGAACGUGUGGCAUCAGAUAGUCCCAAACCUGCUCUGACCGUGCAGCAGGGUCAAGAAUUUUCUGCUGCUGGUCAAAAUGCAGAAAACCUUUGUCAGUUCUUUAAAAUUUCACCAGAUUUAAACAUAAAGUGUGAAAGAAAGGAUGACUUCUUAGGAGCUGCAGAAGGAAAACUGCAAUGCAAUCGUUUAAUGCCUAAUUCGCAAAAAGACUGUCAUUGUUUAGGAGAUGUCUUAAUUGAAAAUACGAAAGAAUCUAAAAGCCAGAAUGAGGAUUUGGGAAGAAAACCCAUGGAAAGUAGCAGUGUUGUGAGUUGCAGAGACAGGAAAGAUAGAAGACGUUCCAUGUGUUAUUCUGAUGGUCAAAGUUUACAUUUGGAAAAAAAUGGAAAUCACACACCAUCCUCCAGUGUGGGCAGCUCUGUAGAAAUUAGUUUAGAAAAUUCUGAACUGUUUAAAGAUUUGUCUGAUGACAUUGAGCAAACCUUUCAGAGGAGAAAUAGUGAAACCAAAGUGCGACGUAGCACGAGGCUACAGAAGGAUUUAGAAAACGAAGGGCUUGUAUGGAUUUCACUUCCACUUCCUUCCACUUCCCAAAAAGCCAAAAGAAGAACAAUAUGUACAUUUGACAGCAGUGGAUUUGAAAGUAUGUCUCCCAUAAAAGAAACUGUGUCCUCCAGACAAAAACCGCAGAUGGCACCUCCCGUCUUGGAUCCAGAAAACAGCCAGGGCCCUGCUGCUGGUUCUUCCGAUGAACCUGGUAAGAGGAGGAAGAGCUUUUGUAUAUCUACACUUGCAAAUACUAAAGCCACUUCCCAGUUCAAAGGCUACCGGAGAAGAUCCUCUCUUAAUGGGAAGGGAGAGAGCUCUCUGACUGCCUUGGAAAGGAUUGAACAUAAUGGAGAAAGAAAGCAGUAAUUGACAUUUCCUGCAGAGUCUGUGGCAAGAGGGAGAGUAACCAUCUAUGCUGAAAUGAUCUGUCUAGUUCCCAUUCUCUGUUCAACCUCAGUGUUUCAAAAGUUCCUAAUAAAUAAACUCAUUUGAGUUGAACCU
This 2409-nucleotide small RNA is filed under the name Pan troglodytes (chimpanzee). Its description in RNAcentral is "processed transcript". The record is from RNAcentral. Lineage: Eukaryota; Metazoa; Chordata; Mammalia; Primates; Hominidae.